Molecule: transfer RNA, 85 nt
Filed under: Prosthecobacter gellanilyticus
Lineage: Bacteria; Pseudomonadati; Verrucomicrobiota; Verrucomicrobiia; Verrucomicrobiales; Verrucomicrobiaceae
Description: tRNA-Tyr
Rfam family: tRNA
About the family: Transfer RNA (tRNA) molecules are approximately 80 nucleotides in length. Their secondary structure includes four short double-helical elements and three loops (D, anti-codon, and T loops). Further hydrogen bonds mediate the characteristic L-shaped molecular structure. tRNAs have two regions of fundamental functional importance: the anti-codon, which is responsible for specific mRNA codon recognition, and the 3' end, to which the tRNAs corresponding amino acid is attached (by aminoacyl-tRNA synthetases). tRNAs cope with the degeneracy of the genetic code in two manners: having more than one tRNA (with a specific anti-codon) for a particular amino acid; and 'wobble' base-pairing, i.e. permitting non-standard base-pairing at the 3rd anti-codon position.
Source: RNAcentral
GGGUAGGUACCCAAGUGGCCAACGGGGGCAGACUGUAAAUCUGCUGGCUUUGCCUUCAGUGGUUCGAAUCCACUCCUGCCCACCA